AUGUCGGCAGCAGCAGCGGCAGGCGGCAGCGCGCCACGGCCAGCCUUCCUCCUCGCGCUGGCGCUGGCGGUGGCGCUGGCGCUCUCGCCGUCGCCGGCGCGGGCCGGGUUCAGCUGCAGCCCCGGCGCGCGGCCGGUGGUGUUCAACUUCGGCGACUCCAACUCCGACACGGGCGGCAUGGCGGCGGCCAAGGGGUGGCACAUCGCGCCGCCGGAGGGCCGCGCCUUCUUCCACCACCCCACCGGCCGCUUCUGCNNNNNNNNNNNNNNNNNNNNNNNNNNNNGUGAAAGCUUAAACAUAAGCUAUCUGAGCCCUUAUCUGAAGGCAAUUGGUUCUAAUUACAGUAACGGAGUGAAUUUCGCUAUUAGCGGUUCAACAACACUACCACGGGAAGCCCUUUUUGUAUUGCAUGGACAGGUGCAGGAAUUCUUCUUCUUUAAAGCCAGAUCCUUGGAGCUCAUCAAUCAAGGUCAGGAAGCUCCAAUCGAUGCAGAAGCGUUCCAAAAUGCUCUAUAUAUCAUAGACAUAGGACAGAAUGAUAUUAACGCUCUUCUGUCCAACUUGCCUUACGACCAAGUAGUCGCCAAGCUCCCUCCAAUACUUGCGGAGAUUAAGUAUGCUGUUCAGCUUCUGUACGGCAACGGGAGUCGGAACUUCUGGAUACAUGGAACAGGGGCUCUUGGUUGCCUGCCUCAGAAGCUCUCGAUUCCACGUAAAAACGACAGUGACCUUGAUCAGAAUGGCUGCCUCAACACAUACAACAGAGCUGCGGUCGCGUUCAACACAGCGCUAGGCAGCCUCUGCGAUCAGCUGAAUGUAGAGCUGAAGAACGCGGCCGUUGUGUACACCGAUCUCUUUGCCAUCAAGUAUGACCUUGUGGCCAACCACACCAAAUACGGUUUUGACAGCCCAUUGAUGACGUGUUGCGGGUACGGAGGGCCACCGUACAACUAUGAUUUGAGCAGGAGCUGCCAGUCUUCGAAUUCAACGGUCUGCGCCGACGGCUCAAAGUUCAUCAGCUGGGACGGCGUGCACCUCACCGAGGCCGCCAACGCCGUCGUGGCUGCGGCCAUACUGAGCUCCGCAUAUUCCAGACCAAAGAUCAAGUUUGAUCAGUUCUGCAAAGCCCGAUAG
RNAcentral lists this ribosomal RNA (1134 nucleotides) under Triticum aestivum (bread wheat). RNAcentral's name for it is "partial small subunit ribosomal RNA". Lineage: Eukaryota; Viridiplantae; Streptophyta; Magnoliopsida; Poales; Poaceae. The record is from RNAcentral.